GUUACACCCGGCCGGUGCUC
RNAcentral lists this unclassified non-coding RNA (20 nucleotides) under Chlamydomonas reinhardtii. Its description in RNAcentral is "small RNA Cre_2080". Lineage: Eukaryota; Viridiplantae; Chlorophyta; Chlorophyceae; Chlamydomonadales; Chlamydomonadaceae. The record is from RNAcentral.